RNAcentral lists this ribosomal RNA (260 nucleotides) under uncultured prokaryote. Its description in RNAcentral is "partial 16S ribosomal RNA". It matches the Rfam family "Bacterial small subunit ribosomal RNA", at positions 524 to 782 of the family's 1533-position model. The record is from RNAcentral.
UACGGAGGAUGCGAGCGUUAUCCGGAUUUAUUGGGUUUAAAGGGUGCGUAGGCGGCUUUUUAAGUCAGCGGUGAAGUUUUGCAGCUUAACUGUAACAGUGCCGUUGAUACUGGGGAGCUAGGAUUUGGUUGCUGUGGGUGGAAUGUGUGGUGUAGCGGUGAAAUGCUUAGAGAUCACACAGAAUAUCGAUUGCGAAGGCAGCUCACAAAGCCAAGAUUGACGCUGAGGCACGAAAGUGUGGGGAGUCAAACAGGAUUAGA